Molecule: ribosomal RNA, 893 nt
Filed under: uncultured bacterium
Lineage: Bacteria
Description: bacterial SSU rRNA
Rfam family: Bacterial small subunit ribosomal RNA
Source: RNAcentral
AGAGUUUGAUCCUGGCUCAGGAUGAACGCUGGCGGCGUGCUUAACACAUGCAAGUCGAACGAACCUUCGGGUUAGUGGCGGACGGGUGAGUAACGCGUGGGAAUCUGCCCUCAGGAGGGGGAUAACGGCCGGAAACGGCCGCUAAUACCCCAUAUGCCGAGAGGUGAAAUGAAUUUCGCCUGAGGAUGAGCCCGCGUCUGAUUAGCUAGUUGGUGAGGUAAGAGCUCACCAAGGCAUCGAUCAGUAGCUGGUCUGAGAGGAUGAUCAGCCACACUGGGACUGGGACACGGCCCAGACUCCUACGGGAGGCAGCAGUGGGGAAUUUUCCGCAAUGGGCGAAAGCCUGACGGAGCAACGCCGCGUGAGGGAUGAAGGCCUCUGGGCUGUAAACCUCUUUUAUCAAGGAAGAAGAUCUGACGGUACUUGAUGAAUAAGCCACGGCUAAUUCCGUGCCAGCAGCCGCGGUAAUACGGGAGUGGCAAGCGUUAUCCGGAAUUAUUGGGCGUAAAGCGUCCGCAGGCGGCCCUACAAGUCUGCUGUUAAAAAGUGGAGCUUAACUCCAUCAUGGCAGUGGAAACUGUUGGGCUCGAGUGUGGUAGGGGCAGAGGGAAUUCCCGGUGUAGCGGUGAAAUGCGUAGAUAUCGGGAAGAACACCAGUGGCGAAGGCGCUCUGCUGGGCCAUCACUGACGCUCAUGGACGAAAGCCAGGGGAGCGAAAGGGAUUAGAUACCCCUGUAGUCCUGCCCGUAAACGAUGAACACUACGUGUCGGGGGAAUCGACCCCUCCGGUGUCGUAGCCAACGCGUAAGUGUUCCGCCUGGGGAGUACGCACGCAAGUGUGAAACUAUUGGGAUUGACGGGGGCCCGCUACAACCGUUGGACUAUGUGGUUAC